GGACGGGUGAGUAACGCGUGAGUAACCUGCCUCCUUGAGGGGGAUAACAUUCUGAAAAGAAUGCUAAUACCGCAUGACAUAUCGGAAUCACAUGGUUUUGAUAUCAAAGAUUUUAUCGCUUGAAGAUGGACUCGCGUCCGAUUAGUUAGUUGGUGAGGUAACGGCUCACCAAGACCGCGAUCGGUAGCCGGACUGAGAGGUUGAACGGCCACAUUGGGACUGAGACACGGCCCAGACUCCUACGGGAGGCAGCAGUGGGGGAUAUUGCGCAAUGGGGGCAACCCUGACGCAGCAACGCCGCGUGAAGGAUGAAGGUUUUCCGAUUGUAAACUUCUUUUAUUAAGGACGAAAAAUGACGGUACUUAAUGAAUAAGCUCCGGCUAACUACGUGCCAGCAGCCGCGGUAAUACGUAGGGAGCAAGCGUUGUCCGGAUUUACUGGGUGUAAAGGGUGCGUAGGCGGCUUUGCAAGUCAGAUGUGAAAUCUAUGGGCUCAACCCAUAAACUGCAUUUGAAACUGUAGAGCUUGAGUGAAGUAGAGGCAGGCGGAAUUCCCCGUGUAGCGGUGAAAUGCGUAGAGAUGGGGAGGAACACCAGUGGCGAAGGCGGCCUGCUGGGCUUUAACUGACGCUGAGGCACGAAAGCGUGGGUAGCAAACAGGAUUAGAUACCCUGGUAGUCCGCGCU
This 685-nucleotide ribosomal RNA is filed under the name uncultured bacterium. Its description in RNAcentral is "bacterial SSU rRNA". It matches the Rfam family "Bacterial small subunit ribosomal RNA", at positions 100 to 801 of the family's 1533-position model. The record is from RNAcentral.